GCCGGGUGCGGUGGCAUGUGCCUGUAAUCCAAGUCACUGGGAGGCUGAGAUUGGUGGAUCAAGUGAGCUGAGGAGCUCUGGGCUGCAGCAUUCUAUGUGUCCACGCUAAGUUCGGUAUCGAUAUGGUGUUCCUGGGCGAGCCCGGGACCACCAGGUCGUCUAAGGAGGGGUGAACCGGGCCAGGUCGGAAACGAAGCAGGUCAAGUCCCCCGUGCUGUCCAGUAGUGGGAUAAUACCUGUGAGUAGAUGCUGCAGUGCAUCCUUGGCAAAACAUCGAGACCUAAUCUUUU
This is an unclassified non-coding RNA of Oncorhynchus mykiss (rainbow trout), 290 nucleotides long. It matches the Rfam family "Metazoan signal recognition particle RNA". From Rfam's summary of the family: The signal recognition particle (SRP) is a universally conserved ribonucleoprotein. It is involved in the co-translational targeting of proteins to membranes. The eukaryotic SRP consists of a 300-nucleotide 7S RNA and six proteins: SRPs 72, 68, 54, 19, 14, and 9. Lineage: Eukaryota; Metazoa; Chordata; Actinopteri; Salmoniformes; Salmonidae. The record is from Ensembl.